GCCGCGCUUUCUUCGUUGAAUCAUGACGCGGCGUCAUCAUCGACAAGUAAUACAACUGAUGCUAUACCGAGCCCUAACAAUUAUAGCUGGGCUCCUGCAUUGUAUCAACAUAAACAUAGUCAAAAGAACGUUUUGGACACAACUAUGCAAGCAUCCACUAGCGACAAUUCUAAUAAAUCUGUUACUGAAAAGUCGUUAGAAGAAACUAAUUCUUCAGGAUCUUCCUGAAAUAACGUUUGCAAUAUUUAUUUCAUACGUGUACUGUGAUUUUUGUUCACCUAAACGUUAAUAUUGUUAUUAGAAGUGAUAGGAAAAAGUGAGACCAGUGAAAUUAGAAAAUUAAUAUUUAAAUAUAAUAACAUGCUUAAAGAGCAUAAAGAAAAAGACGUGUGACUUCGGUAUCAUUCCAUAUUAGUGUGAUAGUGUGAUCUACAUUAUUUAUCAUUAUUUAUUAUUCGCGUAUAGUUGCACGUGUUCGGUUAAAUCCCAGGUUUUUAUUUAGACUUCAA
Nomia melanderi (Alkali bee) is the source of this 509-nucleotide non-coding RNA. The record is from RefSeq and is a predicted model, not a curated record. NCBI's taxonomy places the organism in Eukaryota, Metazoa, Arthropoda, Insecta, Hymenoptera, Halictidae.